AAGCGCUGGCAACCAGACUUGCUCGCGGGUGAUCAACCGUCCUUCGGGGCGGUGCACUGAUCCGCGAUCAGGCCAGCAUCGGUUUCGGCGGCCAGAUAAACGAGGUGGGAACGUGGCUCCCUUCGGGGAGUGUUAUAGCCCAUUUCAGCAUGUGGUCCGCCGGGGCCGAGGACCGCGCUCCGGCUAGGAUGCUGGCGUAAUGGUUGUCAGCGACCCGUCUUGAAACACGGACCAAGGAGUUGACAAACAACGCGAGUCUUUGGGUGUUAAACCCACAGGCGCAAUGAAAGUGAACGGAGGUGGGAACCCUGGUGCACCAUCGACCGAUCCUGAUGUCUUCGGAUGGAUUUGAGUACGAGCGUUGUUGUGACCCGAAAGAUGGUGAACUAUGCGUGAAUAGGGUGAAGCCAGAGGAAACUCUGGUGGAGGCUCGCAGCGGUUCUGACGUGCAAAUCGAUCGUCAAAUUUGCGUAUAGGGGCGAAAGACUAAUCGAA
This 495-nucleotide ribosomal RNA is filed under the name Trapelia thieleana. Its description in RNAcentral is "eukaryotic LSU rRNA". It matches the Rfam family "Eukaryotic large subunit ribosomal RNA", at positions 417 to 939 of the family's 3401-position model. The record is from RNAcentral. Lineage: Eukaryota; Fungi; Ascomycota; Lecanoromycetes; Trapeliales; Trapeliaceae.